UACGAAGGGGGCUAGCGUUGCUCGGAAUCACUGGGCGUAAAGGGUGCGUAGGCGGGCCUUUAAGUCAGGGGUGAAAUCCUGGAGCUCAACUCCAGAACUGCCUUUGAUACUGAGGAUCUUGAGUCCGGGAGAGGUGAGUGGAACUGCGAGUGUAGAGGUGAAAUUCGUAGAUAUUCGCAAGAACACCAGUGGCGAAGGCGGCUCACUGGCCCGGUACUGACGCUGAGGUGCGAAAGCGUGGGGAGCAAACAGG
Molecule: ribosomal RNA, 253 nt
Filed under: uncultured bacterium
Lineage: Bacteria
Description: partial 16S ribosomal RNA
Rfam family: Bacterial small subunit ribosomal RNA
Source: RNAcentral